AAUAUUGCACAAUGGGCGCAAGCCUGAUGCAGCGACGCCGCGUGGGUGAAGAAGGAUUUCGGUCUGUAAAGCCCUUUUCUGUGUGACGAGAGUGGACGGUAGCACAGGAAUAAGUCUCGGCUAACUACGUGCCAGCAGCCGCGGUAAAACGUAGGAGGCAAGCGUUAUCCGGAGUAACUGGGCGUAAAGGGCGAGUAGGUGGUUUGAUAAGUUGGUUAUGAAAGCUCCUGGCUAAACUGGGAGAGGCUGACCAAGACUGUCAGACUUGAGUGGAGAAGAGGUCAACGGAAUUCCGCGUGUAGUGGUGAAAUGCGUAGAGAUGCGGAAGAACACCAGUGGCGAAGGCGGUUGACUGGUCUCCAACUGACACUGAACCGCGAAAGCAUGGGUAGCGAAC
Molecule: ribosomal RNA, 397 nt
Filed under: uncultured bacterium
Lineage: Bacteria
Description: bacterial SSU rRNA
Rfam family: Bacterial small subunit ribosomal RNA
Source: RNAcentral